UACGGAGGGUGCAAGCGUUAUCCGGAUUCACUGGGUUUAAAGGGUGCGUAGGCGGGCAGGUAAGUCAGUGGUGAAAUCUCCGAGCUUAACUCGGAAACUGCCGUUGAUACUAUUUGUCUUGAAUAUUGUGGAGGUAAGCGGAAUAUGUCAUGUAGCGGUGAAAUGCUUAGAUAUGACAUAGAACACCAAUUGCGAAGGCAGCUUACUACGCAACGAUUGACGCUGAGGCACGAAAGCUAGGGGAGCAAACAGG
RNAcentral lists this ribosomal RNA (253 nucleotides) under uncultured bacterium. Its description in RNAcentral is "partial 16S ribosomal RNA". It matches the Rfam family "Bacterial small subunit ribosomal RNA", at positions 524 to 776 of the family's 1533-position model. The record is from RNAcentral.